UACGGAAGGUGCAAGCGUUGUUCGGAAUGACUGGGCGUAAAGCGCACGUAGGCGGUUUCUUAAGUCGGAUGUGAAAGCCCUGGGCUUAACCUAGGAACUGCACCCGAUACUGGGUAACUUGAAUGCUUGAGAGGUUGGCGGAAUUCCAGGUGUAGGAGUGAAAUCCGUAGAUAUCUGGAGGAACAUCGGCGGCGAAGGCGGCCAACUGGUGAUGCAUUGACGCUAAGGUGCGAAAGCGUGGGGAACAAACAGG
RNAcentral lists this ribosomal RNA (253 nucleotides) under uncultured bacterium. RNAcentral's name for it is "partial 16S ribosomal RNA". It matches the Rfam family "Bacterial small subunit ribosomal RNA", at positions 524 to 776 of the family's 1533-position model. The record is from RNAcentral.